AUGCUGUGAUGGCUUAUGGUAGAAGCGCAUCGACUAUGCUCGCUUAGGUUGGUUGACAUGAGUGUCCGGUUCGAUUCCCGCGGUCGGAAAAAAGUAAUUCGAGUAAUCAAUUAACUUUCUUCCGGCAAUGAGUGGCACAAUCACUGGAGGGAAGCAAUUCAGCACAGUAGGCUACCCGUAGGAAGGCGAAGCGGAUGGCACUCUGUCCUGUCUAACCAUGGUUUGAGCUUGAUGUUGCAACUCCGACUAUUCUUUU
RNAcentral lists this signal recognition particle RNA (256 nucleotides) under Millerozyma farinosa CBS 7064. RNAcentral describes it as "Piso0_004927". It matches the Rfam family "Fungal signal recognition particle RNA". Lineage: Eukaryota; Fungi; Ascomycota; Pichiomycetes; Serinales; Debaryomycetaceae. The record is from RNAcentral.